Molecule: ribosomal RNA, 273 nt
Filed under: uncultured bacterium
Lineage: Bacteria
Description: partial 16S ribosomal RNA
Rfam family: Bacterial small subunit ribosomal RNA
Source: RNAcentral
CAAUGGCGUAAACAAAGGGAGGCGAAGUGGUGACAUGGAGCGAACCCCAAAAAUAACGUCCCAGUUCGGAUUGUAGUCUGCAACCCGACUACAUGAAGCUGGAAUCGCUAGUAAUCGCGGAUCAGAAUGCCGCGGUGAAUACGUUCCCGGGUCUUGUACACACCGCCCGUCACACCAUGGGAGUCAGUAACGCCCGAAGUCAGUGACCCAACCUUAGGGAGGGAGCUGCCGAAGGCGGGACGGAUAACUGGGGUGAAGUCGUAACAAGGUAAC